This 543-nucleotide long non-coding RNA is filed under the name Mytilus galloprovincialis (Mediterranean mussel). The record is from RNAcentral. Lineage: Eukaryota; Metazoa; Mollusca; Bivalvia; Mytilida; Mytilidae.
CGGCGGAAAACGGAAUCGCAGUUAUAAAAAUGUACUUUUUUUCACUCGGACUUCUAUGUUAUUUGAUAGUCAAACGGUUGACCCUUUAAAUACAAAAAUACAUCUACAAGAACAUAUUCUGAAACUUCUUAAAUCCACUAACGUUUUUUUAAAGUUUCAAGCUAUGUAUUGCAUUAGAAAACAUACAUAGGUGUUAAAGAAUGACAGACCAGGAGCCUGUUUAACAAAAUACUAUGGCUUGAUAUGGGCGGAGUCUCUGAUCUGGGUCACAAAGAUGGCCAUACGCGAUAGCAUAAAAGCAAUUGCUUUAAAAAUCCAUAUAAUGCUUUGUUGCGGAAUGAUGGAAUGACAGAAUUACGGAAUUUCGGACAAGGGUAAAACUAUAUAGCACCGACAACUUCGUUGCGGGGCCAUUAAAAACGUUUAUGUAUUUCUGUUUUCAACAAGGCAGAAUUACUAGUACUAUUAAUAGACUCACCAUUUUCGCAUAUACUGUUGAUAUUUAUAGGUUACCUUAAAACUUCUGGUGGGGUCACAAUAGAU